Cajanus cajan (pigeon pea) is the source of this 1545-nucleotide long non-coding RNA. RefSeq lists it as uncharacterized. The record is from RefSeq and is a predicted model, not a curated record. Lineage: Eukaryota; Viridiplantae; Streptophyta; Magnoliopsida; Fabales; Fabaceae.
AAGAAUCUUUUUCACCUCGGUGGGAAAUUGAGGUUCCCUUUUUAUUGGCAACAAAACCCUACUAAGUUUAAUAGCUCCCAAGGUCUUGUUAGACUGCUUUCGAUGAGGCCGACAUUGAUAAGCCACAAUCAUUACCUCGUCCUUUGAAUAUAAAAAAGCAUAUUUUCUCUGUCUAGCUCGAAGGAUAAGGAGAGAAGUCUAGAAAUCUGAUGGGGAAAAGUAAUGAUGUGAACUUAAGGCCAAGUUUAAUACCGAGGAGGCGAAGAUUCCUGAGGUUGGCAAGGAAGAUUCUUGUGCUCACUGACCUCGCCAUAAGAUAAGGAAACUUCCCAAGACCUCUGGGAAUUUGGAUAUGGGGUUGGUGACAUUGAAAGUUGCUGCUUCUUUGGUUCCCAUUGAUUUGAUCAAGAGUCCUCCCCUGCUAACCCUGCCGAUUGAGCUUAACCUAAAGGAUGUUUCCCAAGGCAGUCGAUUAGUGUCUUAUCUUUUCUAGUAGGAUGUUCCGGUGAGCUCGAUUGCCUUGGUUGUCAAUGUUAAGGUCGAUGAGGGAGCUACUCACCCCACCAUGAUGCCAUCGGACUUGAAAACUACUCCUGCAACUCUGUCAUGAUGCAUUCACCAGAGGUUCAACGUGAAUCAACCUUUGGCUAGGUUGGACCACGUCAGCAUGUUGCCGGAUGUGACCUCCUUAUGGAACCCUAAUCUGACUGUAGAGAGUUUUUGCAAGGAGGACUUUGCAUAUGUGGCUGACAAAGCCAUCAUUGAAAAGGUGGGGCCAAUUUAGGGGCUCAAUUCUGCCUAGGUAUUUAUGCAGCAAUCCAUUGAAAUAGUGAACCACUAGAAGCGCAAGUGGCAAAAGAGCCUGACAAAGUUGGAGAAGGCUAAGAAGGCAUAGGCUGAGGUGGAGGGGGUGAAGAAAGAAUUGGAAAAGAUGAAAAAUUCCUUCUUUGUCAUUGUGAAAGCCAACGAGAUUUACACUGGUAAGGUGAACGAGUUGCUGGAAAAGGUUAAAAUUGUCGAGGUUGUGGUAGAAAAUGUUAGGGUCCAAGCUCGUUCUCUCUAGGAAGAGAAUGAGGUCUUGAGGGAGAAACUUCUGGUUGUCAAGGAGAAACAUAGAAAUAACGAGGCUCUUCUUGUUGCCCAUGCUGAGGAGAUUAAAAAACUAAAAAUAGAGGCCAGAGUCCUAACUUCAGCAAAACAGGGUGUGGAGAAGGAGCUCCUUGAGACCAAAUGCCACGUCGUCAUUGAGCAUAAGAAGGGUUUCUCUAAGGUAAUUCAUUAGGUUAAGGUACUUGCCCCUAAGUUUGACGUUGCUUCCUUAUGUAUUAAUAAGGAUGUUUGUAGCAGCCAAUUGGUGGAUGAGGAUGACAUUUUUGACAACACUAGCGAGGAGAGUGCUUGAGCAUGCAUCAUUAUUUUUCUAGUAGACUUUGCUUUGUUUUUGUGUUUUCAUUCUUUUCUCUUUUGUUGAUUUUCCUUUUGUCCUGUUGUAUUUUUAACUCACAUAAUGAGUAUUUAUAGUUUCAACACAUCUUUUUCUUUCGA